AGUGAACGCUGGCGGCAGGCCUAACACAUGCAAGUCGAACGGUAGCACAGAGGAGCUUGCUCCUUGGGUGACGAGUGGCGGACGGGUGAGGAAUAUAUCGGAAUCUACCCAAUCGUGGGGGAUAACGUAGGGAAACUUACGCUAAUACCGCAUACGAUCUGAGGAUGAAAGCGGCGGACCGCAAGGCGUCGCGCGAUUGGAUGAGCCGAUAUCCGAUUAGCUAGUUGGUGAGGUAAUGGCCCACCAAGGCAACGAUCGGUAGCUGGUCUGAGAGGAUGAUCAGCCACACUGGAACUGAGACACGGUCCAGACUCCUACGGGAGGCAGCAGUGGGGAAUAUUGGACAAUGGGCGCAAGCCUGAUCCAGCCAUGCCGCGUGUGUGAAGAAGGCCUUCGGGUUGUAAAGCACUUUUGUUGGGGAAGAAAAG
This 428-nucleotide ribosomal RNA is filed under the name uncultured bacterium. RNAcentral describes it as "bacterial SSU rRNA". It matches the Rfam family "Bacterial small subunit ribosomal RNA", at positions 29 to 452 of the family's 1533-position model. The record is from RNAcentral.